CAGUCGCCGCGGUAAUACGUAGGUGGCAAGCGUUGUCCGGAAUUAUUGGGCGUAAAGGGCUCGCAGGCGGUUUCUUAAGUCUGAUGUGAAAGCCCCCGGCUCAACCGGGGAGGGUCAUUGGAAACUGGGAAACUUGAGUGCAGAAGAGGAGAGUGGAAUUCCACGUGUAGCGGUGAAAUGCGUAGAGAUGUGGAGGAACACCAGUGGCGAAGGCGACUCUCUGGUCUGUAACUGACGCUGAGGAGCGAAAGCGUGGGGAGCGAACAGGAUUAGAUACCCGAGUAGUCCCUGUCUCUUAUAU
This 301-nucleotide ribosomal RNA is filed under the name uncultured bacterium. RNAcentral describes it as "partial 16S ribosomal RNA". It matches the Rfam family "Bacterial small subunit ribosomal RNA", at positions 509 to 809 of the family's 1533-position model. The record is from RNAcentral.